RNAcentral lists this ribosomal RNA (207 nucleotides) under uncultured bacterium. Its description in RNAcentral is "partial 16S ribosomal RNA". It matches the Rfam family "Bacterial small subunit ribosomal RNA", at positions 568 to 774 of the family's 1533-position model. The record is from RNAcentral.
UGCGCAGGCGGUCCCGCAAGUUAGGCGUGAAAUCCCCGGGCUUAACCUGGGAAUGGCACUUGAAACUACGGGACUGGAGUGUGGCAGAGGGAGGUGGAAUUCCACGUGUAGCGGUGAAAUGCGUAGAUAUGUGGAGGAACACCGAUGGCGAAGGCAGCCCCCUGGGUCAACACUGACGCUCAUGCACGAAAGCGUGGGGAGCAAACA